AUACUGAAAUGCAUGGUGGGGAAUCAAUGCGAAAUUCGUUGGCUGUACCUGCAACCGUAAAGUCGGAGCGCCACCCAGUAG
Molecule: non-coding RNA, 81 nt
Submitted as: unclassified sequences
Source: Rfam